This 468-nucleotide ribosomal RNA is filed under the name uncultured bacterium. RNAcentral's name for it is "partial 16S ribosomal RNA". It matches the Rfam family "Bacterial small subunit ribosomal RNA", at positions 28 to 507 of the family's 1533-position model. The record is from RNAcentral.
GACGAACGCUGGCGGUGUGCUUAACACAUGCAAGUCGAACGGUAAGGCCCUUUCGGGGGUACACGAGUGGCGAACGGGUGAGUAACACGUGAGUAACCUGCCCUCAUCUCUGGGAUAACAGUCGGAAACGGUUGCUAAUACUGGAUAUGAGCUUGCAAGGCAUCUUGUGGGUUGGAAAGAUUUUUUUUGGUUGGGGAUGGACUCGCGGCCUAUCAGCUUGUUGGUGAGGUAGUGGCUCACCAAGGCUUCGACGGGUAGCCGGCCUGAGAGGGCGACCGGCCACAUUGGGACUGAGAUACAGACCAAACUCCUACGGAAGGCAGCAGUGGGGAAUAUUGCACCAUGGACGGAAGGCUGAUGCAGCAACGCCGCGUGCGGGAUGACGGCCUUCGGGUUGUAAACCGCUUUCAAUUGUGAAGAAGCUUUUUUGUGACGGUAGCAGUAGAAGAAGCACCGGCUAACUACGUG